This is a non-coding RNA of Gossypium hirsutum (cotton), 107 nucleotides long. The record is from Rfam. NCBI's taxonomy places the organism in Eukaryota, Viridiplantae, Streptophyta, Magnoliopsida, Malvales, Malvaceae.
AACCAAUGAUGAUGACACCUUCUGAAUAUAUCCUUAAAUCUGUCCCAUGCAUUAUAUAAUGUCUCCAAAUCAAUUUGAGAAAAAGAAUAGAUAUCGUUCCCUAACUU